This 253-nucleotide ribosomal RNA is filed under the name uncultured bacterium. Its description in RNAcentral is "partial 16S ribosomal RNA". It matches the Rfam family "Bacterial small subunit ribosomal RNA", at positions 524 to 776 of the family's 1533-position model. The record is from RNAcentral.
UACGAGAGGCCCAAACGUUAUUCGGAAUUACUGGGCUUAAAGAGUUCGUAGGCGGCGCAGAAAGUAGGGUGUGAAAGCCCUCGGCUCAACCGAGGAAUUGCGCUCUAAACUACUGUGCUUGAGGAAGCUAGAGGUGAGCGGAACUGAUGGUGGAGCGGUGAAAUGCGUUGAUAUCAUCCGGAACACCGGAGGCGAAGGCGGCUCACUGGGGCUUUUCUGACGCUGAGGAACGAAAGCCAGGGGAGCGAACGGG